AAGAAGAAAUCCAAUCAUUGACUAUUCAGGAGGCGUUCGUGGCAAGAAAUCUCCUCUCUCUCUCCUCUCUCUCUUUUCCUUCCAAGUUUCAUCCAAACCCAGUCGUCAUCUCGUAUUCAAACACAACUGCUCGUAAUUGUGUGUAUAUAUUGACACUCCUAUAUAUACACGCACAAUUAGAAAUAUUAAAUUUAAAGUAGCAAU
Molecule: long non-coding RNA, 204 nt
Filed under: Actinidia chinensis (golden kiwifruit)
Lineage: Eukaryota; Viridiplantae; Streptophyta; Magnoliopsida; Ericales; Actinidiaceae
Description: long non-coding RNA (ACHI_LNC008359)
Source: RNAcentral